GGCGUUUUCAACCUUCAGUCUGCUGGGAGGAGCUCAACCCACGGAGAAUUACAGAGCAUUGAAGACACUUGUUCCCCUGUUAACUUAUAUUAGUGCACUCAUCUACUGUGCACUGAGACGAUGCCAGUCCGGACUGCUCUGCACCUCUUCAUCUAGCACUGAAACCUUUGCAAGACACAGAACUGAUCAAAGGUGGUGAUCAACUGAACAAAACAGACUGCAACUAAAACUCCGAAUUCUCAGAAUUGCAAUGUAAGUGAAUGCAACUAUUUACAUUUAUAGCAGUGUGGAACAAAAAGUCAGCAACAAAUCCUGCUCCGGU
RNAcentral lists this long non-coding RNA (322 nucleotides) under Lepisosteus oculatus (spotted gar). Its description in RNAcentral is "lncRNA (ENSLOCG00000022402.1)". The record is from RNAcentral. Lineage: Eukaryota; Metazoa; Chordata; Actinopteri; Semionotiformes; Lepisosteidae.